GAAUUCGCCCUUAGAGUUUGAUCCUGGCUCAAGAUGAACGCUAGCGGCAGGCUUAACACAUGCAAGUCGAGGGGCAGCAUGUCCAGCAAUGGAUGAUGGCGACCGGCGGAAGGGUGCGUAACGCGUGAGCAACAUGCCCUAUACAGGGAGAUACACCAGGGAAACUUGGUCUAAUAUCCCAUAGCAUUCAUUGAAGGCAUCUUUAAUGAAUUAAAGCUUCGGUGGUAUAGGAUUGGCUCGCGUGACAUUAGCCAGAUGGUGAGGUAACGGCUCACCAUAGCAAUGAUGUCUAGGGGUUUUGAGAGGAAGGCCCCCCACACUGGGACUGAGACACGGCCCAGACUCCUACGGGAGGCAGCAGUGAGGAAUAUUGGACAAUGGAUGGAAAUCUGAUCCAGCCAUGCCGCGUGCAGGAAGACGGCCUUAUGGGUUGUAAACUUCUUUGGAGAGGGACGAAAUUGACGGUACCUCUCGAACAAGCCACGGCUAACUACGUGCCAGCAGCCGCGGUAAUACGUAGGUGGCAAGCGUUAUCCGGAAUUACUGGGUGUAAAGGGCGCGCAGGCGGCCCUGCAAGUCGGAUGUGAAAGAUCAAGGCUCAACCUUGACAGGCCAUUCGAAACUGUGGGACUUGAGUGUCAGAGGGGAAAGUGGAAUUCCUAGUGGAGCGGUAAAAUGCGCAGAUAUUAGGAGGAACACCGGUGGCGAAGGCGACUUUCUGGCUGACAACUGACGCUGAGGCGCGAAAGCGUGGGGAGCAAACAGGAUUAGAUACCCUGGUAGUCCACGCCGUAAACGAUGAUUACUAGGUGUAGGGGGUAUCGACUCCCUCUGUGCCACAGUUAACGCAUUAAGUAAUCCACCUGGGGAGUACGGCCGCAAGGUUAAAACUCAAAGGAAUUGACGGGGGCCCGCACAAGCAGUGGAGUAUGUGGAUUAAUUCGAUGAUACGCGAGGAACCUUACCCGGGUUUGAAUUGCUGAUGGCGAUAAUUGGAGACAGUUAUUUCCCUUCGGGGCGUCAGUGAAGGUGCUGCAUGGUUGUCGUCAGCUCGUGCCGUGAGGUGUCGGCUUAAGUGCCAUAACGAGCGCAACCCUUGCCGUUAGUUGCCAUCGGGUCAUGCCGGGCACUCUAUUGGGACUGCCAUCGUAAGAUGUGAGGAAGGUGGGGAUGACGUCAAAUCAGCACGGCCCUUAUGUCCGGGGCGACACACGUGUUACAAUGGGGGGUACAGUGGGAAGCUACCUGGCGACAGGUUGCGGAUCCCCAAAUCCUUUCUCAGUUCGGAUCGGAGUCUGUAACUCGACUCCGUGAAGUUGGAUUCGCUAGUAAUCGCGCAUCAGCCAUGGCGCGGUGAAUACGUUCCCGGGCCUUGUACUCACCGCCCGUC
Molecule: ribosomal RNA, 1390 nt
Filed under: uncultured bacterium
Lineage: Bacteria
Description: partial 16S ribosomal RNA
Rfam family: Bacterial small subunit ribosomal RNA
Source: RNAcentral